RNAcentral lists this transfer RNA (59 nucleotides) under Promethis valgipes. RNAcentral's name for it is "tRNA-Ser". Lineage: Eukaryota; Metazoa; Arthropoda; Insecta; Coleoptera; Tenebrionidae. The record is from RNAcentral.
GAAAUACCAAGAAAUAAGCUUCUAACUUAAUUAUAAAGCAUUUACGUGUUUGUAUUUCU